CCUUGAUAUACUUAAUUUGGUGGAAACUUUACCACUAAUACUCCCGUUACUUACCCCACCCAGCACCAUCUCACCGCCAUUAACUCCCAGUCAAACCCUAACGCCUUCUCAUCUAACAAAUCGAAGAAGCCUCGAAUUAAUCUGCAAGUGCCAGGAUUGUAUGUUGGUGUAGUCCUGCAUUUUACCGUUCUUGCACUAUCCACCGUCAGGUUGUAUAUGUGUUUUUUACUCAAUGUAAGCACUUAUGGCUUCUAAGGACGGAGCAAUGCUUGUUUUGUUUUGCAAGACAAACCAAAUAUGUCACAAAGGUCUUGGAUGCAACUACCCAUGUCCAGGAUAUGUGGAGUAUAGAGAUUGCAUACUUGAUGAAUUGUGAUCUGUAAGUUUCAUAUUUCAAAUUGUUUAUUGUUUUUAAGUGUGAUAUAAUCUCUAUGGUUGAAUAUUACAAAAUUGAGGCAGAGAGAAGCUAUUUCCGGAUUCAUUCGGAACAUCUUGCAAUGAUGGAAAUGGUGCUCAGAUUACAACAUCCAAGGAACUGAGUUGCUUGGACGAUCGUAAUGGUCAAAUAUUGGGGAGAAUAUGAGAAUGGAGGCUUAAUAGAAUAGGUGAAGCGAUCUUGGAAUGUAGUUUUGUAGGAUAUUUUUAACACUUCAUAUUCGAAUAUUGUAUGACUUCUAUUUUAUUGAAAGUAUUAAGUAAAUUGAUGAUA
This is a long non-coding RNA of Salvia splendens (bonfire salvia), 709 nucleotides long. RefSeq lists it as uncharacterized. NCBI's taxonomy places the organism in Eukaryota, Viridiplantae, Streptophyta, Magnoliopsida, Lamiales, Lamiaceae. The record is from RefSeq and is a predicted model, not a curated record. The transcript has 4 exons.